GACGAACGCUGGCGGCGUGCUUAACACAUGCAAGUCGAACGGAGAGGCACUGCGUUUGUGGGGUGCUCGAGUGGCGAACGUGUGAGUAACACGUGGGUAACCGGCCCUGGAGUUUGGGAUAACGUCAAGUAACGGAGGCGAAUACCGGAUAGGAGCGCCUGCUGCAAGGCGGGGGUGGGAAAGGUUCGGCGUUUGGGGAUGGACUCGCGGCUGAUCGGCUUGUUGGUGGGGUAGUGGCUUACGAAGGCUUUGACGGGUAGCAGGCCUGAGAGGUUGACCGGCGAGAUUGGGACUGGGCUACGGCGCGGAGUCCUACGGGAGGCAGCAGUGGGGAAUAUUGCAGAAUGGGCAGGAGCCUGAUGCAGCAACGCCGCGUGCGGGAUGACGGCCUUCGGGUUGUACCCCGAUUUCGCCUGUGACGAAGCGUGAGUGACGGUAAUGGGUAAAGAAGCACCGGCUAACUACGUG
This 468-nucleotide ribosomal RNA is filed under the name uncultured bacterium. RNAcentral describes it as "partial 16S ribosomal RNA". It matches the Rfam family "Bacterial small subunit ribosomal RNA", at positions 28 to 507 of the family's 1533-position model. The record is from RNAcentral.